Molecule: ribosomal RNA, 253 nt
Filed under: uncultured bacterium
Lineage: Bacteria
Description: partial 16S ribosomal RNA
Rfam family: Bacterial small subunit ribosomal RNA
Source: RNAcentral
UACGUAGGGUGCAAGCGUUGUCCGGAAUCAUUGGGCGUAAAGCGCGCGUAGGUGGCCCCAUAAGUCCGCUGUGAAAGUCAAAGGCUCAACCUUUGAAAGCCGGUGGAUACUGUGGGACUAGAGUACGGAAGAGGCGAGUGGAAUUCCUGGUGUAGCGGUGGAAUGCGCAGAUAUCAGGAGGAACACCAAUAGCGAAGGCAGCUCGCUGGGACGUUACUGACACUGAGGCGCGAAAGCGUGGGGAGCGAACAGG